This 617-nucleotide ribosomal RNA is filed under the name uncultured bacterium. RNAcentral describes it as "bacterial SSU rRNA". It matches the Rfam family "Bacterial small subunit ribosomal RNA", at positions 338 to 947 of the family's 1533-position model. The record is from RNAcentral.
CCUACGGGAGGCAGCAGUGGGGAAUUUUGGACAAUGGGCGAAAGCCUGAUCCAGCAAUGCCGCGUGAGUGAAGAAGGCCUUCGGGUUGUAAAGCUCUUUUGUCAGGGAAGAAACGGUGAGAGCUAAUAUCUCUUGCUAAUGACGGUACCUGAAGAAUAAGCACCGGCUAACUACGUGCCAGCAGCCGCGGUAAUACGUAGGGUGCAAGCGUUAAUCGGAAUUACUGGGCGUAAAGCGUGCGCAGGCGGUUUUGUAAGUCUGUCGUGAAAUCCCCGGGCUCAACCUGGGAAUUGCGAUGGAGACUGCAAGGCUAGAAUCUGGCAGAGGGGGGUAGAAUUCCACGUGUAGCAGUGAAAUGCGUAGAGAUGUGGAGGAACACCGAUGGCGAAGGCAGCCCCCUGGGUCAAGAUUGACGCUCAUGCACGAAAGCGUGGGGAGCAAACAGGAUUAGAUACCCUGGUAGUCCACGCCCUAAACGAUGUCUACUAGUUGUCGGGUUUUAAUUAACUUGGUAACGCAGCUAACGCGUGAAGUAGACCGCCUGGGGAGUACGGUGCAAGAUUAAAACGUUAAGGAAUUGACGGCUGAGACGNGACGAGACGACGACGAGGAGGAGG